GUGAGUUUGGAGGGUGCCGGUCAACGAAGCCCCGCGAGGUAAUUUGAAGGCAAUCGCAGCCCGGACCGUUCCCCCUAGAUUCAUCGAAGCCGGGACAUUUCCUUUGGCCGUGGCAAUCAUGUGAUUCAUUUGGGAAGGAAGACGAUGAUCAUUAAGAAGCCACAUGGAUCCGAUGAAGGCAGUGACCACUGAGAGGUCAGCUCCAUUGUGGAAAAUUGGAGCUAUUCAGCCUUGUAGAAAACAGGAGGGAGAAGGAACUCAGUGAAUAUUAUCCUGGCUCCCAAUAAUUCUGCCCACUGAUGACAACUGCCCCUUCUGCUCAAAUUUCCUGAGUCAACAUGGCCACUCCUAACUUGGACACGACUGUAGACAUUCUGUGUUACAAUGAGCCUAGAAGAAAAAAGAGACAUGAAAUAGCGAGAGGAAAUGAAAACUAUUUAUUUAACUGAACCAGCCAUCCCCCUGCAGAUUACAGCGACUGUGCUCAGGACUGUAGGACGGAUACAACCCAGCAGAAUAACUGCCAUGGAAGAAGGAUGCCCCUCCUGCCAAUUGGCACUUAUCAAUGACAUCGAGGGAGAGGGACAGAGUGCCUAGGUAUGAGCCUUCAUCAAGUGUUAUGAAGGCUCUACUCCAACAGAAAGUGCUCAUGUGAAGAAAUGAUGCUUUUGACAAGACUUUCCUCUGAUCUGGUGCUAUCCAGGGGUUGGCAAACAGGCUCCCUGGGCCUCAUUCCUGUUGGGUAUUCUUGUGAAUAAAGUUCUAUCAGACACAGA
This 776-nucleotide small RNA is filed under the name Rattus norvegicus (Norway rat). Its description in RNAcentral is "POU3F3 adjacent non-coding transcript 1 (Pantr1)". Lineage: Eukaryota; Metazoa; Chordata; Mammalia; Rodentia; Muridae. The record is from RNAcentral.